This 481-nucleotide ribosomal RNA is filed under the name Cladosporium tenuissimum. RNAcentral describes it as "eukaryotic LSU rRNA". The stretch from base 131 to 284 matches the Rfam family "5.8S ribosomal RNA". The record is from RNAcentral. Lineage: Eukaryota; Fungi; Ascomycota; Dothideomycetes; Cladosporiales; Cladosporiaceae.
AUGUUCAUAACCCUUUGUUGUCCGACUCUGUUGCCUCCGGGGCGACCCUGCCUUCGGGCGGGGGCUCCGGGUGGACACUUCAAACUCUUGCGUAACUUUGCAGUCUGAGUAAACUUAAUUAAUAAAUUAAAACUUUUAACAACGGAUCUCUUGGUUCUGGCAUCGAUGAAGAACGCAGCGAAAUGCGAUAAGUAAUGUGAAUUGCAGAAUUCAGUGAAUCAUCGAAUCUUUGAACGCACAUUGCGCCCCCUGGUAUUCCGGGGGGCAUGCCUGUUCGAGCGUCAUUUCACCACUCAAGCCUCGCUUGGUAUUGGGCAUCGCGGUCCGCCGCGUGCCUCAAAUCGACCGGCUGGGUCUUCUGUCCCCUAAGCGUUGUGGAAACUAUUCGCUAAAGGGUGUUCGGGAGGCUACGCCGUAAAACAACCCCAUUUCUAAGGUUGACCUCGGAUCAGGUAGGGAUACCCGCUGAACUUAAGCAUAU